CGAACGGGUGAGUAACGCGUGAGGAACCUGCCUCAAAGAGGGGGACAACAGUUGGAAACGACUGCUAAUACCGCAUAAGCCCACGGCUCGGCAUCGAGCAGAGGGAAAAGGAGUGAUCCACUUUGAGAUGGCCUCGCGUCCGAUUAGCUAGUUGGUGAGGUAACGGCCCACCAAGGCGACGAUCGGUAGCCGGACUGAGAGGUUGACCGGCCACAUUGGGACUGAGAUACGGCCCAG
This 237-nucleotide ribosomal RNA is filed under the name uncultured bacterium. Its description in RNAcentral is "partial 16S ribosomal RNA". It matches the Rfam family "Bacterial small subunit ribosomal RNA", at positions 99 to 334 of the family's 1533-position model. The record is from RNAcentral.